This is a long non-coding RNA of Neogale vison (American mink), 346 nucleotides long. RefSeq lists it as uncharacterized. Lineage: Eukaryota; Metazoa; Chordata; Mammalia; Carnivora; Mustelidae. The transcript is spliced from 3 exons. The record is from RefSeq and is a predicted model, not a curated record.
GCUGACUCCAUCCAUCCCAUGCACCAAUAGAUUAUUUCUCCCUGUCUUUCUUGUGAACACAUGUCUGAGUUCUGGCCGGUGGACUCUCCUGCACCUGUUCUAGGUCUGGUCCACAGAACCUUCCAUGUGCGACCCACCCUGCACUCCCCUUUCUUCAUCAGCCUCGAAAGCCAUGAGCUGGAGAUGUUGGAGGCACCAGCUGGAAGGAGCCUGCGUCCUUGAGUUGCUGCUUGGAUGAGAACUGCCUACAAAUCAGGGACAUCAGCCUGGGACUUUAAUUGGACAUAGUUAUGAAGCGGCCUGUUCUUGUCUUGGUCCUGCCUGGUCCCACAGUGGCUUCUUCUGA